GUAAAAUAGGAAUGAGCCAACCCAGCCUGACCUAAUACCCAUAUACGUAAGUUAAAAUAAUACUAAAAAUAAAUUCUUCCCCAUAAAAAGAUUAGUUCGGAAUGCAUAAGAUUAAAUUCUGACAAAACAAUAAAGAAAUAAAAGGCAUGAGGGAGCAUCCCCACUUAGUGAUCGGUCCGCUAGUUCAUGCAAAUUCAAAAAAAUUAUCACGGACGAGCCACAUACAGGAAAACUUGCACGUGUGGUUCUGGCCGGGCUUUCCUGAGGUAUCUAAUAACCUUAGAGCACUUGAAAUAAAAAUGCUAUCAAUUUGAAUAAAAUUUUUAAAAAGAGAAAUAAAAGAUAAAAGUAUCAUAUUUUGAAGUAUUUACUGUUCACUUUUAGUAUUAAUUUAAUUUAUAUAUAUGAGUAUUGGAUCGGGUGGGCUAGACCUGGUUGAAUCAUUCCUAUUUCAAUUGGAUUAUUAUUUAUCAAGCCGAAAAUAUAAAAUAAAAACCCACAAAAUAAGAAAAUACUACUAAAAUUUAUAUUUUUCAAUCACUAUAAUUUUUGUAUAAGUUAUUAAAAGUUUUAUAAUUUUUGUGUGAGAAAACGUAGUUAUGUGACUUUGAUGGAAAAAAGUCAUAGUUAUAUGAUUUUUUGUGUGAGAAAAGAAAGUUAUAUGACUUUUGUGAAAAAAGACCAUAGUUAUAUGACCAUUUGUGAAAUUUACCCCGUACAUUUAAUCAAUUAUGUGCCCAGCUAACAGUAAGCUUUUGCCAUUCCAAAAACAACAGCACAGUUGAAGUUCAUAUUACCUCACUUCCAAUCUACUGAGAUCAUUACAUUUCCCUGCAUUGCAUAGGAUGGUUCCAUGGAUCCUUCUUUUGAUCAGAAUUUAGUAGUUGUAUGUGAAGAACAAGCUUAAAAGCAAGUAGCAUUUUUCAAUGCUUUUGCAUUUCUUUGUGCAAAUAUUCCUUUUCUCCCGUGGAGUUACUGGCUUGUCUACGUUAUUGCUUCUGAUUUCUUGAGAACUACGGCCAUUGUAAUGCUAUGAGAGCUAGCUUGAGUAUGAUUACUGCUAUACGCUAAUGCUAUCCGCUCUUUCAGUGGCGGACGCACUGAUGUUCAAUUGAACCUGCUUCAUCAAAAAAAUAAUACUGUGUAUAUGUAUAAAUUAUGAUUAAAGCUGCGUAAAUUUUGUAUAAAUAUUUUAUUUGAACCUACUUGACAACUACUAUUGCACAAAAUCUUGGGUCCGUCACUGAGAUCUUUGCUUAUGUUGUCAAGGCAAAGGCAUAUAUCAGCUAUUUAAAUAGAAUAAAUAUACAAAUUGUUUACCAAUAUGAUUACUUCAAAGUUCAAACCAAUAAAGCCACAUGCAUUGAGAAAGCAGUACUUUUUAUAUAAGGCAAAGCACCAAAAAGCCCUAUUUAUUUUCGGUAUUAAGUUCCACUACCUAAAAAUUUCAGAUUUUUAUUCAUCAAUUCUUCAAAAUCUAUCACGUGCAGGAAUAAAUCAGAGUAACUCAAUAAGAGACUACCCAAGAAAAGAAGAAAUUAACAAAUUCCCAAUAAAUGAAGAGGGAAGGAAAAAUGCCCAGCAAGUUGUAUUACAAAUAAAGUCUAAUAAACUACAAAAAAACAUUUAGAAAAAGAAUAAUCACUAUGUAAACCUAGAAAUAAUAUAUCUUUUUAAAGCAUAGAUUGAGAUAUCAAGCUACAGAAGAAAGAAGCAGAACAAGAAAAUAACAGUCAUGGAAAUACCUUAGGAUGAAAUAGUAUGCAAACCUAGGAAAAUUAACUUAUGAAAAGAGAGAAAUUGAGCAAGAUCUUCUGAUAGAGAUUGACUGAGAGAAAGAUGAAGAGAGAGAGAGUGGGCAAGAGCUUCUGAAAGAGAUUGAGCAAGAGCGAAAGAAGAGAAUGUUUCAUAGUACACGUGUUUGAGAUGCAAUCCACGUGUUCGUAUGAGAAGGGCAUGAAAGAGACCCAAGUUCAUCAAUUGAAAAAGGCCCAAGUUUUUAAAAUACAAUUCAGAGAGCUUUUGGUACAACCUAUUAUUGCAGGGUUCUUCCCCCUUAACUUAUGGUAGAUAUACGGGCAAUGACAAGAUCAGCUACAAUAUUCUGUGUUAGGACUGGGAAAU
Molecule: long non-coding RNA, 2124 nt
Filed under: Nicotiana tabacum (common tobacco)
Lineage: Eukaryota; Viridiplantae; Streptophyta; Magnoliopsida; Solanales; Solanaceae
Description: long non-coding RNA (NTAB_LNC017642)
Source: RNAcentral